Molecule: ribosomal RNA, 240 nt
Filed under: Helvella vespertina
Lineage: Eukaryota; Fungi; Ascomycota; Pezizomycetes; Pezizales; Helvellaceae
Description: partial large subunit ribosomal RNA
Rfam family: Eukaryotic large subunit ribosomal RNA
Source: RNAcentral
GCAGCUCAAAUUUGAAAUCUGGGGCCCAUGGCCUCCGAGUUGUAAUUUGGAGAGGCAUCUUCUGGGGGGAGCGCCGGCCCAUGUUCCUUGGAACAGGACGUCACAGAGGGUGAGAAUCCCGUGCGAGGCAGGUGGCCUCCUCCCAUGUGGAGGGCCUUCGACGAGUCGAGUUGUUUGGGAAUGCAGCUCCAAGUGGGUGGUAAAUCUCAUCUAAAGCUAAAUACCGGCGGGAGACCGAUA